RNAcentral lists this ribosomal RNA (485 nucleotides) under Leptographium francke-grosmanniae. RNAcentral's name for it is "SSU rRNA". It matches the Rfam family "Eukaryotic small subunit ribosomal RNA", at positions 405 to 895 of the family's 1831-position model. The record is from RNAcentral. Lineage: Eukaryota; Fungi; Ascomycota; Sordariomycetes; Ophiostomatales; Ophiostomataceae.
GGCUACUACAUCCAAGGAAGGCAGCAGGCGCGCAAAUUACCCAAUCCCGAUUCGGGGAGGUAGUGACAAUAAAUACUGAUACAGGGCUCUUUUGGGUCUUGUAAUUGGAAUGAGUACAAUUUAAUUCCCUUAACGAGGAACAAUUGGAGGGCAAGUCUGGUGCCAGCAGCCGCGGUAAUUCCAGCUCCAAUAGCGUAUAUUAAAGUUGUUGCAGUUAAAAAGCUCGUAGUUGAACCUUGGGCCUGGCUGGCCGGUCCGCCUCACCGCGUGCACUGGUCCGGCCGGGCCUUUCCCUCUGGGGAGCCACAUGCCCUUCGCUGGGCGUGUCGGGGAACCAGGACUUUUACUUUGAAAAAAUUAGAGUGUUCAAAGCAGGCUUAUGCUCGAAUACAUUAGCAUGGAAUAAUAGAAUAGGACGUGCGGUUCUAUUUUGUUGGUUUCUAGGACCGCCGUAAUGAUUAAUAGGGACAGUCGGGGGCAUCAGU